CCUACGGGAGGCAGCAGUGAGGAAUAUUGGUCAAUGGGCGUAAGCCUGAACCAGCCAAGUCGCGUGAGGGAUGAAGGUUCUAUGGAUCGUAAACCUCUUUUAUAAGGGAAUAAAGUGCGGGACGUGUCCUAUUUUGUAUGUACCUUAUGGAUAAGGAUCGGCUAACUACGUGCCAGCGGCCGCGGUAAUACGGAGUAUCCGAGCGUUAUCCGGCUGUAUUGGGUUUAAAGGGUGCGUAGGCGGCCGUUUAAGUCAGCGGUGGAAGUCUGUGGCUCAACCAUAGAAUUGCCGUUGAAACUGGGGGGCUUGAGUAUGUGUGAGGCAGGCGGAAUGCGUGGUGUAGCGGUGAAAUGCUUAGAUAUCACGCAGAACCCCGAUUGCGAAGGCAGCCUGCCAAGCCAUGACUGACGCUGAUGCACGAAAGCGUGGGGAUCAAACAGGAUUAGAUACCCUAGUAGUC
This 460-nucleotide ribosomal RNA is filed under the name uncultured bacterium. RNAcentral describes it as "partial 16S ribosomal RNA". It matches the Rfam family "Bacterial small subunit ribosomal RNA", at positions 338 to 795 of the family's 1533-position model. The record is from RNAcentral.